Molecule: long non-coding RNA, 415 nt
Organism: Gordionus sp. m RMFG-2023
Lineage: Eukaryota; Metazoa; Nematomorpha; Gordioida; Chordodea; Parachordodidae
Exons: 3
Source: RefSeq, a predicted model, not a curated record
GUUAUGAAUAUACUAAAUUCGAUAGUUGGAGAGGAUUAUAAUUGUAUAAACAAAAAAGAUGAUGGAGUUAAGACACCAGAAAAAGCAUCGAAAAUGCUAGAGCCUGAUGACAUUCGACCUUUUGGUGCCCCGCCGGAGAGGACGGGCAUGGCUCAAAAUGCCGUUUAUGGUACAGAGGUGGAGAUAGUUACAAUGACAACUAUGCUCCAGACAAAUAUUUUAAUACAUACUAUUUAUAAAUGGGCAUACUAUAUGCCCAUUAAAAAAUUAAGUAAUAUUAAAAAAUUUAAUGUAAAUAUUUAUUUAAUAAAUCAUAGCGAACAUAUUGAUCGCAUAAUUAAUUUUAAUUAAUAUUUAUAUCGCAUAUAGCAUAUAUUAUUUAUAUCGCAUAUAUUAUUAAUUGAUUUUUUUAUCU